This is a long non-coding RNA of Salvelinus sp. IW2-2015, 345 nucleotides long. RefSeq lists it as uncharacterized. NCBI's taxonomy places the organism in Eukaryota, Metazoa, Chordata, Actinopteri, Salmoniformes, Salmonidae. The record is from RefSeq and is a predicted model, not a curated record.
GGCUCCUAAGCCAGUCAGGACCAGUAAGGGAUCCCUCAGAGCUUUAUGGUGAAGCUGAACCAGGAACUAAAGGAGCCAUGUUGACCAGCACUGGAGAAUAUGCUAUUCCUGCUAUAGACGCGGAGGCCUAUGCUCUGGUAAGAAGGAACGUCCCCCUUUGUUCCUCGUGAAGCGUCAUCGUCUGAAGAUGAGGCUGAUCCAAUCCCCGAUGAGCUGCUCUGCCCCAUCUGUAACGACCUGAUGAGUGAUGCUGUUGUCAUACCCUGCUGUGGUAACCCUACUGCGACGACUGUGAGUUAACACAGGAGUUUUCAAACUUUUCUUGCCCAGGCCCCCCCGCCCCAG